GCUUAUGUUUGGGUGAUCAACACCCAUAUGCAACACUGCAGCACGCAUGCAAGGAAAGCGGGCACAAUGAUAAAAAUGAAUUAUUUCCAAAGCAAGCGGCACAGUUUCAGGAGGCAGCUGGACUUACGAGUUUGUGAACGCCCACUGAAAGGCUUUCAAGGAAAUUACAUGAGAGGCAAGGAUUUCUCAGCGUGGUACCUCUUCUUGGACCAACUAGGUGGCAAGUUACCUGGUCAUAGAAGGAGAUGAGGUUGGCAAGACAAGACCUGCCCACGAUGAAGAGCGUAUCGCACAUAGACUCCUUGAUGAAUUUUUCCAGCAUUUGCCCUUGGAUUGAAGUUAAGUUGAUUGGCCUAUAGUUGCCCAGGUCCUCCCUCCUCCCCUUCUUGAAGAUGAGCACAACAUUGGCCUUUUUCCAACUUCAGGGACCUCUGCGGAGCACCACGACUGUGGAUGCUGUGUUGGCCUGACCACCUUGUUCUCACUGAAGCUCAGUACAGGAAACAGGACGUCAGAGCCAUUGAAGAGAGCAGGCUGAAUCCUGAAGAGCCUCCGAGAGGUCACCGAUUGUAGCGGCUGUGCUGUGAGAACGACUUGGGGCUGUGGUCGUGCCCAUCUACAGGAAGACAGGUGUUUCAUCGGACACUUGUCUGACUGAAGUUUGCAUCCCAAAGGAAGACUGGACAUGAAGAAAGUCCUUGGGAUCUUCCUUGUCAUGCAGCAUCCCUUGGUGGGGAAGUAUUUUAUCUUGGAGUCUGACAGGUCUGGGAAGCUCUGGGCUGUUGGCCUGCUGGGGAAUAAUAAUGAGUUUCUUUUCUACCGAAGGUUGCAAACAAGCAAGUGCUGAAUUUAUAGACACAAUCCAGAGAUGUGCCUAUUUAGGGCAGUCUUGUUUCUCCGGUGUUGACCCACCACAAUGCAGACCUGGACACAGGCAUGGGUGAUUUGGGCGGCCGCCCAGGGCCUGGGCAGAAAGGGAGCCCAAAAAUUGAAAAAUAAAAUUAUAAAUUGCAAAAAAAAAAAAAGUUUUAAUAUUGCA
Long non-coding RNA from Alligator mississippiensis (American alligator), 1039 nucleotides. RefSeq lists it as uncharacterized. NCBI's taxonomy places the organism in Eukaryota, Metazoa, Chordata, Crocodylia, Alligatoridae. The transcript has 3 exons. The record is from RefSeq and is a predicted model, not a curated record.